RNAcentral lists this transfer RNA (69 nucleotides) under Ictidomys tridecemlineatus (thirteen-lined ground squirrel). Its description in RNAcentral is "Spermophilus tridecemlineatus (thirteen-lined ground squirrel) tRNA". It matches the Rfam family "tRNA". From Rfam's summary of the family: Transfer RNA (tRNA) molecules are approximately 80 nucleotides in length. Their secondary structure includes four short double-helical elements and three loops (D, anti-codon, and T loops). Further hydrogen bonds mediate the characteristic L-shaped molecular structure. tRNAs have two regions of fundamental functional importance: the anti-codon, which is responsible for specific mRNA codon recognition, and the 3' end, to which the tRNAs corresponding amino acid is attached (by aminoacyl-tRNA synthetases). tRNAs cope with the degeneracy of the genetic code in two manners: having more than one tRNA (with a specific anti-codon) for a particular amino acid; and 'wobble' base-pairing, i.e. permitting non-standard base-pairing at the 3rd anti-codon position. Lineage: Eukaryota; Metazoa; Chordata; Mammalia; Rodentia; Sciuridae. RNAcentral also lists the same sequence under 1 other name. The record is from Rfam by way of RNAcentral.
GGGGCCGUGGCUCAGUGGCAGAGCGCUUGCCUAACAUGCGUGAGGCCCUGGGUUCAAUCCUCGGCACCA